GCCAACUAGAAAUACUAACUCUGAAUACUGUCUGAGCUGGAAUGAAAGUUGAAAAUCCAUCCCACUCCAUAGCCAACUUCAUGUGAUCUUCACCGGUGAUUUCUUGUGUGCACAGAGGAGGGUGACGUAGGGAACGCCAAUGAAUGCCCAUCUCUCACUUGGCCAGAACUUUAUGACGGGGCCCUGCUCAGGGAUCUCAGAGGCAGCAUCGAAGUAAGCGAAACAGACACAGCCUAGGUAAGCCGCAAGGCAAAUCAAAAUGUGCCUGAGAAUAGAGCAAACCCCCCCCCCCCAAAAAAAAGAAAAAUUCAGUAACAUGACUUCAGUAAAGUUAUCAAAUACAUCAGCAUGGUUUAAAAUCAGUCUGUUACUCUCCUU
RNAcentral lists this long non-coding RNA (378 nucleotides) under Gallus gallus (chicken). Its description in RNAcentral is "long non-coding RNA NONGGAT011828". Lineage: Eukaryota; Metazoa; Chordata; Aves; Galliformes; Phasianidae. The record is from RNAcentral.